Oncorhynchus mykiss (rainbow trout) is the source of this 4938-nucleotide non-coding RNA. Lineage: Eukaryota; Metazoa; Chordata; Actinopteri; Salmoniformes; Salmonidae. The record is from RefSeq and is a predicted model, not a curated record.
AACACGCCUUCAGAAUGAAGAAUCCACCAUUUAAAAAAAAAUCUGUGACGUCAGUGGGCACGCAGAAGUAGAGGAGUUGAUACCGGCGAAUGGACAGAUGAUGAAAGUCAGCAAAUUUCUCCACAUCUGAAAGAUCACCCGGACAAGUGACGAAUAUCUGUCACAUAUUCGAUACCAGAACCUUAUAUAAUGGACGUAUAUUGCUGCAGACGCUUUCGCUGUUUUGAUCCGAUUCAAAUUGACAGGGAUGAACAACUUGCUAGCCUUCGGUAAUGAUGUGCCCCGUGCUCGAGACGUUAGCAAGCUAGAUUCAAAUUAAAUGUGUUGUCAUUACUUGAGAAAAAAAAUCUGUCGAUUUGAGAACAAAAUAUGUGGGGAUUACUGCCGACUACGGUCAAUUGACGAAAUCUGACUGAGUUGUGAAAGCCUAAAUGCUAACUAGCUAGCACACCAGCAUUCCGAAACCAGCGUUAGCCAGCCAGCUAGCCAGCUAGGGACAAGGCACGGGAGGGUUCUGUGCAGGUUGUUAUGGAAGAGGUGGCGCUAGAACCACCGACGGACGCGCUCUGUGAAUGUAAUGGAGGUAGAACCACCAACUCCGAAGAUCCCAGACCUAAAAGCCGACAUCAUCAACCCGAACUCGGGCCGAACCCGAGUAACUUUUCUCGGCUGUGCAGCAGGGACGAGGCGGAGAGGGCAGAGGCGCUGAAAGAACUGACCCAGAGCGUCAUGUCCCGAUUGGGUCUGGACCGAACCGGUUCUGCUCGUCUCGAUAAACACACUCUCCUGCAGCUGCUGCGGGUCUCCCGGUCCUGCCCCUUACAGGAGGUCCGCGAGAGGGCAGCGGAACUACUGCGGACUGCACAGGAGCAAGGUGUUGAGAUUCCUCAGGCUUUGGCCUCCGGUCCUAGUGCCUUCAUCCCUGCACAAGUGAUUUUGGAUGAGGGACCAGAUCAGGAAGUUCUGAUAGAAGCCUUCCUCUCUUUGGGCCGUUUUGACCACAUCACCAUGGUGAUGGCCCUUCACCCCACCUACCUCAGCUGCUUCCUGCGUACCCAGCAUGCUUUGCUGGAGCUGGAUGGCCCGCUACCCCGCCCCUGGAGGCACUACAUCGUUGUCAUGGCUGCAGCUCGUCACCAGUGUUCCUACCUUGUCCAACAGCAUAGUGCAGGGUUCCUGGAGGCGGGGGGGGAGGAGAGCUGGCUGGAGGGGCUACAACACACACACCCCAAAAUACGCUGCCUACACACACUUAACAAGCUGCUGGCACACAGACCCUGGCUCAUCACACAACAGCACAUACAGGAGUUGGUGUGUCCCGGGGCGGAUGAUCGUUGGUCAUUGGCUGAGCUGAUCCACGCAGUUGUUCUGAUGACUCACUCUCAUUCGCUGUCCUCUUUCGUUUGGGGGUGUGGCCUACACCCUGAGCCCGACCACGUAGGAGGCCACGCCUUCUGCCCACCAUCACCAUCCAAUAACAUGCCACAAAGCCCUCACAGUCCCGCCCCCGAGGACGGCAAGCCAGAGGAUGGAGUGACGGAGGUGGAGGCAUUGAUGAAGAGGAUGGUGGAGUUACAACAGCAGGUGGAGGAGUGUAGUCAGGAAGAGAUGAUCACUCGCUUUGAGAGGGAGAGGAGUGAGAGCAUACCUACUGCAGUGGUACGGGGAGCCCCCUCUGACUUGGUGUUGAGGUUAGUGGAGGAUGCAGAGUUCAUCUAUGAAGACUUCUCCAUCCGAGGAGAACAGUCACCUCCUACCAUGAGAGCACAGGACUACUCAUGGGAAGACCAUGGAUUCUCCCUAGUGAACAGACUGUUACCAGACAUGGGCCAAUUACUGGAGGAGAAGUUCCAGGUUGUGUGUGGUCUAACCUACAACAGGAUGGCGAUGCACAAGGAUGUGGACACACACACACUCCGCAAGGCUCUCUGGAACUACAUCCACUGCCUCUACGGAAUACGGUACGAUGACUACGACUACGGAGAGGUGAAUGUGUUGUUGGAGCGAGGCCUCAAGAUGUUUGUGAAAACGGUAGCGUGUCAUCCAGAACAGACUACAGAUAGGAUCUACUCUGCCUACUGGAGACUCUUCAGACACUCUGAGAAGGUCCAUGUCAACCUGCUGCUGAUGGAGGCUCGACUACAGGCUGCUCUACUAUACACACUACGGGCUGUCACACGCUACAUGACAUGACUACAGGCUGCUCUACUAUACACACUACGGGCUGUCACACGCUACAUGACAUGACUACAGGCUGUCACACACUACAUGACAUGACUACAGGCUGUCACACGCUACAUGACAUGACUACAGGCUGUCACACGCUACAUGACAUGACUACAGGCUGCUCUACUAUACACACUACGGGCUGUCACACGCUACGCUACAUGACUAAGGGCUGUCACGCGCUACAUGACAUGACUACAGGCUGUCACACGCUACGCUACCUGACUACGGGCUGUCACACACUACAUGACAUGACUACGGGCUGUCACACGCUACAUGACAUGACUACAGGCUGUCACACGCUAUAUGACAUGACUACAGGCUGUCACACACUACAUGACAUGACUACGGGCUGUCACACGCUACGCUACAUGACUACAGGCUGUCACACGCUACAUGACAUGACUACAGGCUGCUCUACUAUACACACUACGGGCUGUCACACACUACAUGACAUGACUACAGGCUGUCACACACUACAUGACAUGACUACGGGCUGUCACACGCUACGCUACAUGACUACGGGCUGUCACACGCUACAUGACUACAGGCUGUCACACGCUACAUGACAUGACUACAGGCUGCUCUACUAUACACACUACGGGCUGUCACACGCUACAUGACAUGACUACAGGCUGUCACACGCUACAUGACAUGAGUACAGGCUGUCACACACUACAUGCCAUGACUACAGGCUGUCACACACUACAUGACAUGACUACAGGCUGUCACACACUACAUGACAUGACUACAGGCUGCUCUACUAUACACACUACGGGCUGUCACACGCUACAUGACAUGACUACAGGCUGUCACACGCUACAUGACAUGACUACAGGCUGUCACACACUACAUGCCAUGACUACAGGCUGUCACACACUACAUGACAUGACUACAGGCUGUCACACACUACAUGACAUGACUACAGGCUGCUCUACUAUACACACUACAGGCUGUCACACGCUACAUGACAUGACUACAGGCUGCUCUACUAUACACACUACGGGCUGUCACACGCUACAUGACAUGACUACAGGCUGUCACACACUACAUGACAUGACUACAGGCUGCUCUACUAUACACACUACGGGCUGUCACACGCUACAUGACAUGACUACAGGCUGUCACACACUACAUGACAUGACUACGGGCUGUCACACGCUACGCUACAUGACUACGGGCUGUCACACGCUACAUGACUACAGGCUGUCACACGCUACAUGACAUGACUACGGGCUGUCACACGCUACGCUACAUGACUACGGGCUGUCACACGCUACAUGACUACAGGCUGUCACACACUACAUGACAUGACUACGGGCUGUCACACGCUACGCUACAUGACUACGGGCUGUCACACGCUACAUGACUACAGGCUGUCACACGCUACAUGACAUGACUACAGGCUGCUCUACUAUACACACUACGGGCUGUCACACGCUACAUGACAUGACUACAGGCUGUCACACGCUACAUGACAUGACUAAAGGCUGUCACACACUACAUGCCAUGACUACAGGCUGUCACACACUACAUGACAUGACUACAGGCUGUCACACACUACAUGACAUGACUACAGGCUGCUCUACUAUACACACUACAGGCUGUCACACGCUACAUGACAUGACUACAGGCUGCUCUACUAUACACACUACGGGCUGUCACACGCUACAUGACAUGACUACAGGCUGCUCUACUAUACACACUACGGGCUGUCACACGCUACAUGACAUGACUACAGGCUGUCACACACUACAUGACAUGACUACAGGCUGUCACACGCUACAUGACAUGACUACGGGCUGUCACACGCUACGCUACAUGACUACGGGCUGUCACACGCUACAUGACUACGGGCUGUCACACGCUACAUGACAUGACAACUGGCUGUCACGCGCUACAUGACAUGACUACUGGCUGUCACACACUACAUGACAUGACUACAGGCUGUCACACGCCACAUGACAUGACUACAGGCUGCUCUACUAUACACACUACGGGCUGUCACACACUACAUGACAUGACUACGGGCUGUCACACGCUACAUGACAUGACUACGGGCUGUCACACGCUACAUGACUACGGGCUGUCACACGCUACAUGACUACGGGCUGUCACACGCUACAUGACUACGGGCUGUCACACGCUACAUGACUACGGGCUGUCACACGCUACAUGACUACGGGCUGUCACACGCUACAUGACUACGGGCCUGUCACACGCUACAUGACUACGGGCCUGUCACACGCUACAUGACUACGGGCCUGUCACACGCUACAUGACUACGGGCUGUCACACGCUACAUGACUACGGGCCUGUCACACGCUACAUGACUACGGGCUGUCACACGCUACAUGACUACGGGCCUGUCACACGCUACAUGACUAUGGGCUGUCACACGCUACAUGACUACACACAGUUAAUGUCUGAAUCCGACAGUUCAGAUUGAUCAUAAGUCAAUGUUGUGUUUAUUCUGCUCUGUGUAAUAAGCUGCCUAUUUUGUGUUUGUGGUUAUAAUGCUACACAUUAUAGAGUUAGGUUGAUCCAGUCAAUCAAUCAAUCAUCUCACUGUGUUAAACGAUUAUUGUACUAGCUACUGUGUUCACAGUGGCUGUUACCAUUUAAUGCUUCAGAUCAUACAUAAGACAAUUGAAUGAAUGGUUCAUGUAUUUUUUUUAAUGUACAAUAAAAUGUAUUUUGUUAUCAAAAUCA